This 221-nucleotide long non-coding RNA is filed under the name Elaeis guineensis (African oil palm). RNAcentral's name for it is "long non-coding RNA (EGUI_LNC035462)". The record is from RNAcentral. Lineage: Eukaryota; Viridiplantae; Streptophyta; Magnoliopsida; Arecales; Arecaceae.
GCUCUAGUAAUGUGUGCAUAUUUUCAAUGUACCCAUCUAGAUCAAAAUCAUCUACUCCAAAAGGAUCCCAACGUGUAUGCAGUAGGUCCUGAGAAAUUUUUUUAGGGAUAGCUUUUUCUAUUAUAUAUUUUAGGGAUGAAGCUAUAUGGUAGAUUUGGAUUGUUUUAAUUUUUUAUAUUUAUUUAUUUAAAGGAAGUGGGAGAGAAGAAGAAGAGAAGAGA